GAUGAACGCUAGCUACAGGCUUAACACAUGCAAGUCGAGGGGCAGCAUGGUCUUAGCUUGCUAAGGCCGAUGGCGACCGGCGCACGGGUGAGUAACACGUAUCCAACCUGCCGUCUACUCUUGGACAGCCUUCUGAAAGGAAGAUUAAUACAAGAUGGCAUCAUGAGUCCGCAUGUUCACAUGAUUAAAGGUAUUCCGGUAGACGAUGGGGAUGCGUUCCAUUAGAUAGUAGGCGGGGUAACGGCCCACCUAGUCUUCGAUGGAUAGGGGUUCUGAGAGGAAGGUCCCCCACAUUGGAACUGAGGCACGGUCCAAACUCCUACGGGAGGCAGCAGUGAGGAAUAUUGGUCAAUGGACGAGAGUCUGAACCAGCCAAGUAGCGUGAAGGAUGAAGGUCCUACGGAUUGUAAACUUCUUUUAUAAGGGAAUAAACCCUCCACGUGUGGGAGCUUGUAUGUACCUUAUGAAUAAGCAUCGGCU
This 480-nucleotide ribosomal RNA is filed under the name uncultured bacterium. RNAcentral describes it as "bacterial SSU rRNA". It matches the Rfam family "Bacterial small subunit ribosomal RNA", at positions 28 to 498 of the family's 1533-position model. The record is from RNAcentral.